This 78-nucleotide non-coding RNA is filed under the name Postia placenta Mad-698-R. Lineage: Eukaryota; Fungi; Basidiomycota; Agaricomycetes; Polyporales; Adustoporiaceae. The record is from RNAcentral.
UGGCAUGAAAGCCGGCGCCGGCCUCCUCGUGGCCCAGAGGGUGAGUACCCCUACGUGAGGGGGAAACAAACGGGCGCA